Molecule: ribosomal RNA, 441 nt
Filed under: uncultured Campylobacter sp.
Lineage: Bacteria; Pseudomonadati; Campylobacterota; Epsilonproteobacteria; Campylobacterales; Campylobacteraceae
Description: bacterial SSU rRNA
Rfam family: Bacterial small subunit ribosomal RNA
Source: RNAcentral
CCUACGGGAGGCAGCAGUAGGGAAUAUUGCUCAAUGGGGGAAACCCUGAAGCAGCAACGCCGCGUGGAGGAUGACACUUUUCGGAGCGUAAACUCCUUUUGUUAGGGAAGAACAAUGACGGUACCUAACGAAUAAGCACCGGCUAACUCCGUGCCAGCAGCCGCGGUAAUACGGAGGGUGCAAGCGUUACUCGGAAUCACUGGGCGUAAAGGACGCGUAGGCGGAUUAUCAAGUCUCUUGUGAAAUCCUAUGGCUUAACCAUAGAACUGCUUGGGAAACUGGUAAUCUAGAGUGAGGGAGAGGCAGAUGGAAUUGGUGGUGUAGGGGUAAAAUCCGUAGAGAUCACCAGGAAUACCCAUUGCGAAGGCGAUCUGCUGGAACUCAACUGACGCUAAUGCGUGAAAGCGUGGGGAGCAAACAGGAUUAGAUACCCCAGUAGUC